RNAcentral lists this ribosomal RNA (492 nucleotides) under uncultured bacterium. RNAcentral's name for it is "bacterial SSU rRNA". It matches the Rfam family "Bacterial small subunit ribosomal RNA", at positions 30 to 515 of the family's 1533-position model. The record is from RNAcentral.
AUUGAACGCUGGCGGCAUGCCUUACACAUGCAAGUCGAACGGUAACGGGCCUUCGGGUGCCGACGAGUGGCGAACGGGUGAGUAAUGUAUCGGAACGUACCUUUCAGUGGGGGAUAACGUAGCGAAAGUUACGCUAAUACCGCAUAUUCUGUGAGCAGGAAAGCAGGGGAUCGCAAGACCUUGCGCUGAUUGAGCGGCCGAUAUCAGAUUAGCUAGUUGGUGAGGUAAAGGCUCACCAAGGCGAUGAUAGAUAGGCGGCCUUAACGGGUGGUCGCCCACACUGGGAUUGAGAUACGGCCCAGACUCCUACGGGAGGCAGCAGUCGAGAAUAGUCUACAAUGGCCGGAAGGCUGAUAGUGCGACGCCGCGUGAACGAGGGAGCCCUUCGGGGUGUAAAGUUCUUUUCUAUACGAGCAGUGCUAUAUAUAUGGAUAGUAUAUAUAGAGGGAUAGUAGUAUAGGAAUAAGCAACGGCUAACUCCGUGCCAGCACG